CUGAAUGGCUCAGUGAUAAAGCUGCUGUUUUAUAUGCAGAAGGUCUCAGGUUCAACCCCUGCAUUUCCAGG
Non-coding RNA from Podarcis lilfordi (Lilford's wall lizard), 71 nucleotides. The record is from the annotation of a GenBank genome assembly. NCBI's taxonomy places the organism in Eukaryota, Metazoa, Chordata, Lepidosauria, Squamata, Lacertidae.